UCAGGUGCGUAUCCUCCUCUGCCUGCCGCUGCUAACGCUCCGGAGUGGACCCAUCAUCUGAAAUGCGUCGUCUGGACCGUGAAGAGACGUAGACUACACACAACAAAUGAACAAAACAAUACUGGAUGAACUGCAAUAAGAACAAUCUGUUCUGUAGAAACAAUGAUUGACUAUCAGUCGUUGCUUUCAAGCUCUCUCGCUUUUGCGGUUGGGAAGUUGUGAAAAACCGCUAAAGGACCAGGAACUUUAGAAGACUUCAGAGUUGCUAUAUAUGCACUCGACCGAUUAAGCCGGGAGCCCGGUCGAGCUUGAAAGUCUAUGCAAUAGGCUACAUUUUCUUUUGACUUCUUUUGACUCAGGGAUUUGGCGUUUUGAAAGCUUGAUGUCUACACAUUUUUCCUAGGUUAUGUUUUGUCGUGGUGGGCACAUUCACGGGCUAAAGGAAAUUGUAUUUCUUUAACAUUACCCUGUUUUUGUUUUUGAAAAUGGAGAGCAAAUGAGAGGGGCAUUUCCCGGGAUUAAUUGACAGCACAACGACAGAAUGCGGGAGAGAGACCUACGGAGCGUGUGCAGAAGGGUGCUGCUGCUGGCCGUUUGUCUCGUGUCUCUCUGGGGACAGCUGACCCUCGCUUCGUCACACAGAAGUCACAUAGUGCAUGUCAAAGCAGGGACCUGUGAAGUGACCGCCGCCCACCGCUGCUGCAACAAGAACAAGAUCGAAGAGAGAUCCCAGACGGUGAAAUGUUCCUGCUUCCCCGGACAGGUUGCCGGGACAACAAGAGCGGCCCCAUCUUGUGUGGACGCAUCCAUAGUUGCCCAGAAGUGGUGGUGUCAGAUGCAUCCAUGUAUGGAUGGGGAGGAGUGUAAAGUUUUGCCUGAUCUGAAAGGCUGGAGCUGCAGUACGGGAAACAAAGUGAAGACGACGAAGGUGGGUGCAUAAUGUCACGCGAUAGUGCUGUCUGUCCUGGAUCUGAAGACUUGGUGUCGUCAGUCGUUUCUUCCUUGACAGAAACCACUGGGUCUUCUUGGAUGUGAGAACUAUGUAUUGAAUGAUUUUGGGAAGGAACCAGGGACCAGUAAGGGAACAUGGAAAACUCCUGAAAUUCUACUGAACGGAUGCAGAGUAAAGACUUGACCUGGAAAUAACAUAGAACCACCUAUCCAGACUACUGGACUACCGAUUACAUCCAAUUCCUAGCCGUUAUUGUAUCACCCACCAAAUUCCUGUUUGUGUUUUUUCCUUCAACGGACUACUACAGUAGGAGAUCCAACCUGCAAGGUAUUUAUUCAUUAAAAAGACAAACUGUGGAUUACGCAAGCAAGAUAAACCUUAAUUCGAAACAUGUGACGUGACAUUUUCAAAUCUUUUUCCUCUUUUUUGUCACUGAGAGCUCAGUGACUCCAAAACAAUGUGUCUGUGUUCAAGAUCGAUUUUAGAUCAUAAGCAUUUCCAUUCAUUUUUAGCCUUAUGAAGCAGAUGUCUCUUCUUUUUAAGGUUUUUGAUUUGGAAAAAAAAUAUUAAGUGUUUUUGAGAAUUUGAGACAUCAAAGGAGAUGGCACAGUAGAAAAACAGUUCUAACUACUACGUUUCAGUGUUUUGAAUGAAAAGACACCAUCCCACUGGGCACAGACAUCAAUUCAACGUCUAUUCCAUGUCGGUUCAACGUCAUUUCAUUGAUUGGACGUGUAAACAAUGUUGAUUUAACCAGUGUGUUCCCAGUAGGAUGGUUUCACCAAACCAAUUAAAAUGACAUAAGCUGAGCUCCAACUGUUUUAAUAACUGUUUUACUAUCUGUUUUUAAAAGCCUGGUGACCAACAUUGAGUAAAAGUGUCAGUAUUAUCUCAAUAAACCUAUUUCAAAAGGAUA
Non-coding RNA from Salmo salar (Atlantic salmon), 1868 nucleotides. NCBI's taxonomy places the organism in Eukaryota, Metazoa, Chordata, Actinopteri, Salmoniformes, Salmonidae. The record is from RefSeq and is a predicted model, not a curated record.